GGUUAAGCGACUAAGCGUACACGGUGGAUGCCCUGGCAGUCAGAGGCGAUGAAGGACGUGCUAAUCUGCGAUAAGCGUCGGUAAGGUGAUAUGAACCGUUAUAACCGGCGAUUUCCGAAUGGGGAAACCCAGUGUGUUUCGACACACUAUCAUUAACUGAAUCCAUAGGUUAAUGAGGCGAACCGGGGGAACUGAAACAUCUAAGUACCCCGAGGAAAAGAAAUCAACCGAGAUUCCCCCAGUAGCGGCGAGCGAACGGGGAGCAGCCCAGAGCCUGAAUCAGUGUGUGUGUUAGUGGAAGCGUCUGGAAAGGCGCGCGAUACAGGGUGACAGCCCCGUACACAAAAAUGCACAUAUUGUGAGCUCGAUGAGUAGGGCGGGACACGUGGUAUCCUGUCUGAAUAUGGGGGGACCAUCCUCCAAGGCUAAAUACUCCUGACUGACCGAUAGUGAACCAGUACCGUGAGGGAAAGGCGAAAAGAACCCCGGCGAGGGGAGUGAAAAAGAACCUGAAACCGUGUACGUACAAGCAGUGGGAGCCUCUUUUAUGGGGUGACUGCGUACCUUUUGUAUAAUGGGUCAGCGACUUAUAUUCUGUAGCAAGGUUAACCGAAUAGGGGAGCCGAAGGGAAACCGAGUCUUAACUGGGCGUUAAGUUGCAGGGUAUAGACCCGAAACCCGGUGAUCUAGCCAUGGGCAGGUUGAAGGUUGGGUAACACUAACUGGAGGACCGAACCGACUAAUGUUGAAAAAUUAGCGGAUGACUUGUGGCUGGGGGUGAAAGGCCAAUCAAACCGGGAGAUAGCUGGUUCUCCCCGAAAGCUAUUUAGGUAGCGCCUCGUGAAUUCAUCUCCGGGGGUAGAGCACUGUUUCGGCAAGGGGGUCAUCCCGACUUACCAACCCGAUGCAAACUGCGAAUACCGGAGAAUGUUAUCACGGGAGACACACGGCGGGUGCUAACGUCCGUCGUGAAGAGGGAAACAACCCAGACCGCCAGCUAAGGUCCCAAAGUCAUGGUUAAGUGGGAAACGAUGUGGGAAGGCCCAGACAGCCAGGAUGUUGGCUUAGAAGCAGCCAUCAUUUAAAGAAAGCGUAAUAGCUCACUGGUCGAGUCGGCCUGCGCGGAAGAUGUAACGGGGCUAAACCAUGCACCGAAGCUGCGGCAGCGACACUAUGUGUUGUUGGGUAGGGGAGCGUUCUGUAAGCCUGUGAAGGUGUGCUGUGAGGCAUGCUGGAGGUAUCAGAAGUGCGAAUGCUGACAUAAGUAACGAUAAAGCGGGUGAAAAGCCCGCUCGCCGGAAGACCAAGGGUUCCUGUCCAACGUUAAUCGGGGCAGGGUGAGUCGACCCCUAAGGCGAGGCCGAAAGGCGUAGUCGAUGGGAAACAGGUUAAUAUUCCUGUACUUGGUGUUACUGCGAAGGGGGGACGGAGAAGGCUAUGUUGGCCGGGCGACGGUUGUCCCGGUUUAAGCGUGUAGGCUGG
This 1482-nucleotide ribosomal RNA is filed under the name Escherichia coli. Its description in RNAcentral is "partial 23S ribosomal RNA". It matches the Rfam family "Bacterial large subunit ribosomal RNA", at positions 1 to 1528 of the family's 2925-position model. Lineage: Bacteria; Pseudomonadati; Pseudomonadota; Gammaproteobacteria; Enterobacterales; Enterobacteriaceae. The record is from RNAcentral.